Molecule: ribosomal RNA, 254 nt
Filed under: uncultured bacterium
Lineage: Bacteria
Description: partial 16S ribosomal RNA
Rfam family: Bacterial small subunit ribosomal RNA
Source: RNAcentral
UACGUAGGCACCAAGCGUUGUCCGGAUUUAUUGGGCGUAAAGCGCUCGUAGGCGGUUCGGUAAGUCGGGUGUGAAAACUUUGGGCUCAACCCAAAGACUGCACCCGAUACUGCUGUGACUUGAGUCCGGUAGGGGAGUGGGGAAUUCCUGGUGUAGCGGUGGAAUGCGCAGAUAUCAGGAGGAACACCGGUGGCGAAGGCGGCACUCUGGGCCGGUACUGACGCUGAGGAGCGAAAGCGUGGGGAGCGAACAGG